GACGAACGCUGACGGUGUGCUUUAGACAUGCAAGUCGAACGCGAAAGCCCUUCGGGGUUAGUAGAGUGGCGAACGGGUGAGUAACACGUGGGCAAUCUGCCCCUCGCAGGGGGACAACCGGAGGAAACUCCGGCUAAUACCCCGUACGCUUGCUGGACCGCAUGGUCCGGCAAGGAAAGGUAGCUUCGGCCAUCCGGCGAGGGAUGAGCCCGCGGUGCAUUAGCUAGUUGGUGAGGUAACGGCUCACCAAGGCAACGAUGCAUAGCUGGUCUGAGAGGAUGAUCAGCCACACUGGGACUGAGACACGGGCCCAGACUCCUACGGGAGGCAGCAGUCGGGAAUCUUGCGCAAUGGGCGAAAGCCUGACGCAGCAACACCGUGUGAGCGACGAAGGCCUUC
This 399-nucleotide ribosomal RNA is filed under the name uncultured bacterium. RNAcentral describes it as "bacterial SSU rRNA". It matches the Rfam family "Bacterial small subunit ribosomal RNA", at positions 28 to 419 of the family's 1533-position model. The record is from RNAcentral.